AGGGCACCCGAUUGGGUGAGAACCCUAGCCGCCAUCCCCAUCGCGUCCCUCUCCUUCGCAGCCGCCGCUCGCUCCCGUCUGGUUCUCCUCUCCCACCGCCCGGUCGCCGUGCUCCUCUCCGCCGCCCGGUCGCCGUGCCCACGCUGCUUAGCCUCUGCCACCCCAUCAGAGUCGCCUCCUACGUCGAGCCGAGGGGAGUUAUCUGCGCCGCCUCCUACGUCGAGCGCGCCGCCGCGGUGGACGGUGUCACCAGAAAGGAGUCAGGUCUCGCUGCUGGGACAGAGCAAUCAAUCAACAAAACGCCUGAUUCGAUUCGAUUCGAGGGAAGGGGAAAAAACAGGUUGAUCGAUUUGAGGAGCGAACGUUCACGAGACUGCUCGUCGCCCCUCACGAGACUGCUCUUCCUUUCAACUGAGAACUGUUGAAUAUUGAUUCCAUCUGCCAGUACUAUUUGUUUACCUCAUUUCAGUUCUUCUACAACACUGCUCAAUACUACAGGGCUUACUACAGAUAUAAAACGGAUACUCAUUCUGUGUUGAUUGGCCUUCUUCUAAUUGUGCAAGCAUUCCAAUACAUAAACCAGUUGACAUCAUAUAGUCAGUGUUGGGGCCGCACCAGCGGUCAUGUCCUUCAGGUCGACGGCAAGGGAGGAGCAGCAGGGCGAGCUCGCGUUCCCCAAGCAGCAGGCCUCUCAUGUCCUGACUCCACAGAGAUUGUUUGGUGCUGAGAACCAUGGCAGCGUGCAGUACGCCACCGCCCGCGCCGCUUAAGGCAUACAAUCUCCACACCAGCAUGCUCCUAAUGGUGCUAGGAUGAUUCCAACGGGGUCGCUUUUCAAUGCCAACAAUUCGAUGUUCAGGGUUCAGAGUUCGCCUAACCUCCCCAAUGGUGUUGAUGCUGGUAUCCCGUUCAAAUCAACCACCUAUUAGGGAUGAACAAUGCGGUGGCUGCUUCGACCGUUGGUGUCUAAAUCAAGGGACAUGCCAAAGCCAAAUACCGCGCAAUUAACUAUCUUCUAGGCUGGUUCUGUCAAUGUAUUCAACGUCUCAGCAGAAAAGGUACUAAUACAGUACAAUUUUUCUUAUUGGUAAUGCAUUUUCAUGUCGUUUAGGUUUGCUGCCCUUGCUAUCAAUGAAAUCUUCAGUUCCCUUACUUCAACUCAUGUGACCUGCUUUCUUUUCUUUUCCAUGCAAGCUACAAGUUACUGUUACAUACAUCCAUUUUUACUUUUUCUUAAAUGUAUUUAUUUGAAGGCACACCUUUAGUUAUUACUCCCUCCAUUCCCUUAUACAAGGCCACAAACUCAUAUUACAGGUAUCAAGGUAAAAUUUAAUGACUACUUUGCAAGCCAAUUUUUCUUCUCGUUAACCGGGAUCAUUAAUAUGUCUGCAUGCAUGCAAGGAAGGAAUAAGAAGGAAGUAGCAUAGUGUCAUUAAGACUACAUGCAUGCAAGUAUUAAAUAAGUUGCUAGUACGAGGAAACAUCAUUAAUUUUUACCUCGAUUACUGUUAGUGGCCUUGUAGACUAGCCACAAUGGAGAGUAACAUACACUAGUAACA
This is a long non-coding RNA of Triticum aestivum (bread wheat), 1559 nucleotides long. RefSeq lists it as uncharacterized. The transcript has 6 exons. Lineage: Eukaryota; Viridiplantae; Streptophyta; Magnoliopsida; Poales; Poaceae. The record is from RefSeq and is a predicted model, not a curated record.